AGAGCUCCUAUCGACCCCGCGGUUUGGUACCUCGAUGUCGGCUUUUCCUAUCCUGGUCCUGCAGCAGGGGCCAAGGGUGAGGCUGCUCGCCUAUUAAAAGGGAACAUGAGCUGGGUUUAGACCGUCGUGAGACAGGUCGGUCUCUGCCUAAUGGAAGCGCGAAUAACUGAGGGGAAGUUGCUCACAGUACGAGAGGAACAGAGCAACGUCGCCACUGGUUUACCGGUUGUCUGAUAAGGCAGGCCGGGCAGCUAAGCGAUUUGGGCUAAGUGCUGAAAGCAUCUAAGCACGAAUCCCAUCCCGAGACAAGUUAUUCUUUCGUAAGAUGAAGGUCGGCAGCAAAAUACUGCGUUGAUAGGAAGGUGGUGUAGAUCACAAGCUUCGGCGAGUGGUGAGCCAGCCUUUACUAAUAGACCAACACAUCAGUUCA
This 430-nucleotide ribosomal RNA is filed under the name Candidatus Nitrosopumilus sp. Its description in RNAcentral is "Nitrosopumilus sp. partial 23S ribosomal RNA". It matches the Rfam family "Archaeal large subunit ribosomal RNA", at positions 2564 to 2987 of the family's 2987-position model. Lineage: Archaea; Thermoproteati; Nitrososphaerota; Nitrososphaeria; Nitrosopumilales; Nitrosopumilaceae. The record is from RNAcentral.